UCCUUCAAAAGGAAUGGGCGGAGACUGCGGCCCACCCGGCCCCACCCAGCCGAAUGUGACCGUGCUGCUCCACCACCGUUUCUGUGCCUACUUGGGUGUGACCCUGCAGCACAGAGCCAGGGCGAAGCCUGCGAUUAGAGGCAGCCAGAGUCCCCUAAAAGCCGCAGUGCUCCAUCUCCCUAAGAGCACCGAUCUUUGGAGAAGUAUCAAAGGGACCCACUCGCCGUUCACAUACUUCCAGCGGUGGGUGUCGGCGGGGGCGAAAUCGAGCAGGAUGGAG
Molecule: non-coding RNA, 280 nt
Organism: Paramormyrops kingsleyae
Lineage: Eukaryota; Metazoa; Chordata; Actinopteri; Osteoglossiformes; Mormyridae
Source: RefSeq, a predicted model, not a curated record